UACGUAGGGGGCAAGCGUUGUCCGGAAUCAUUGGGCGUAAAGCGCGUGUAGGCGGCUCAGUAAGUCUGCUGUGAAAGUCCAGGGCUCAACCCUGGGAUGCCGGUGGAUACUGCUGAACUAGAGUGCGGAAGAGGCGAGUGGAAUUCCCGGUGUAGCGGUGAGAUGCGCAGAUAUCGGGAGGAACACCAAUUGCGAAGGCAGCUCGCUGGGACGUUACUGACGCUGAGACGCGAAAGCGUGGGGAGCAAACAGG
RNAcentral lists this ribosomal RNA (253 nucleotides) under uncultured bacterium. Its description in RNAcentral is "partial 16S ribosomal RNA". It matches the Rfam family "Bacterial small subunit ribosomal RNA", at positions 524 to 776 of the family's 1533-position model. The record is from RNAcentral.